GAUUGGCCCUUUGUGGCCCUAUCAAAUCCACAUACCUCUGUGAACUGUUGGCCCUCGGGUCAUUUACAAAACAUUGUGUAAUGAACGUAUCAUAUAUAAACAUAAAACAACUUUCAACAACGGAUCUCUUGGCUCU
RNAcentral lists this unclassified non-coding RNA (136 nucleotides) under rhizosphere metagenome. Its description in RNAcentral is "partial ribosomal RNA internal transcribed spacer region". The record is from RNAcentral.